UACGUAGGGGGCGAGCGUUAUCCGGAAUUACGGGGUGUAAAGGGAGCGUAGACGGCGAAGUAAGCCUGAAGUGGAAGCCCGCGGCCCAACCGCGGAACUGCUUUGGGAACUGCUUAGCUGGAGUAUGGGAGGGGUAAGCGGAAUUCCUGGUGUAGCGGUGAAAUGCGUAGAUAUCAGGAGGAACACCGGUGGCGAAGGCGGCUUACUGGACCAUGACUGACGUUGAGGCUCGAAAGCGUGGGGAGCGAACAGG
RNAcentral lists this ribosomal RNA (253 nucleotides) under uncultured bacterium. Its description in RNAcentral is "partial 16S ribosomal RNA". It matches the Rfam family "Bacterial small subunit ribosomal RNA", at positions 524 to 776 of the family's 1533-position model. The record is from RNAcentral.